RNAcentral lists this ribosomal RNA (480 nucleotides) under uncultured Cytophagales bacterium. RNAcentral describes it as "bacterial SSU rRNA". It matches the Rfam family "Bacterial small subunit ribosomal RNA", at positions 28 to 505 of the family's 1533-position model. The record is from RNAcentral. Lineage: Bacteria; Pseudomonadati; Bacteroidota; Sphingobacteriia; Sphingobacteriales.
GAUGAACGCUGGCGGCAAGCCUAAUACAUGCAAGUCGAGGGGCAGCGAGACACUUCGGUGUUGUCGGCGACCGGCGAACGGGUGCGUAAUGCGUAUGUAACUUGCCUUGUACUGGGGGAUAGCUCCUAGAAAUAGGGAUUAAUACCCCAUAUUAUCUUUUUCUCGCAUGAGAUAUAGAUGAAAGCUCCGGCGGUACAAGAUGGGCAUACGUCCUAUUAGCUAGUUGGUGAGAUAAUAGCUCACCAAGGCGAUGAUAGGUAGGGGGUCUGUGAGGAUGUCCCCCCACACUGGUACUGAGACACGGACCAGACUCCUACGGGAGGCAGCAGUAAGGAAUAUUGGUCAAUGGACGCAAGUCUGAACCAGCUAUGCCGCGUGCAGGAUGAAGGCCUUUUGGUUGUAAACUGCUUUUAUGUGAGAAAAAUAAAUCCCUGCGGGGACGAAUGAUGGUAUCACAUGAAUAAGCACCGGCUAACUCCG